This 502-nucleotide ribosomal RNA is filed under the name uncultured Desulfobulbus sp. Its description in RNAcentral is "bacterial SSU rRNA". It matches the Rfam family "Bacterial small subunit ribosomal RNA", at positions 887 to 1382 of the family's 1533-position model. Lineage: Bacteria; Pseudomonadati; Thermodesulfobacteriota; Desulfobulbia; Desulfobulbales; Desulfobulbaceae. The record is from RNAcentral.
GCCCGCUCAGAAACUUAAAGGAAUUGACGGGGGCCCGCACAAGCGGUGGAGUAUGUGGUUUAAUUCGAUGCAACGCGAAGAACCUUACCUGGUCUUGACAUCCCGGAGACCCUUAGGAAACUAGGGGGUGCUUCCAUCUGGAAGAAUCUGGAGACAGGUGCUGCAUGGCUGUCGUCAGCUCGUGUCGUGAGAUGUUGGGUUAAGUCCCGCAACGAGCGCAACCCUUGCCUUUAGUUGCCAGCAGUUCGGCUGGGCACUCUAAAGGGACUGCCGGUGUUAAACCGGAGGAAGGUGGGGAUGACGUCAAGUCCUCAUGGCCUUUAUGACCAGGGCUACACACGUACUACAAUGGCCGAUACAAAGGGCAGCGACACUGCGAGGUGAAGCCAAUCCCGUAAAAUCGGUCUCAGUCCGGAUUGGAGUCUGCAACUCGACUGCAUGAAGUUGGAAUCGCUAGUAAUCGCGGAUCAGCCAAGCCGCGGUGAAUACGUUCCCGGGCCUU